Molecule: ribosomal RNA, 490 nt
Filed under: uncultured bacterium
Lineage: Bacteria
Description: partial 16S ribosomal RNA
Rfam family: Bacterial small subunit ribosomal RNA
Source: RNAcentral
AGUGAACGCUGGCGGCAGGCCUAAUACAUGCAAGUCGAACGGCAGCACAGUGGAGCUUGCUCCAUGGGUGGCGAGUGGCGGACGGGUGAGGAAUACAUGGGAAUCUGCCCAGUCGUGGGGGAUAACGUAGGGAAACUUACGCUAUUACCGCAUGCGCCCUUCGGGGGAAAGCCGGGGACCUUCGGGCCUGGCGCGAUUGGAUGAGCCCAUGUUCGAUUAGCUAGUUGGCGGGGUAAAGGCCCACCAAGGCGACGAUCGAUAGCUGGUCUGAGAGGAUGAUCAGCCACACUGGAACUGAGACACGGCCCAGACUCCUACGGGAGGCAGCAGUAGGGAAUAUUGGACAAUGGGCGCAAGCCUGAUCCAGCCAUGCCGCGUGAGUGAAGAAGGCCCUCGGGUUGUAAAGCUCUUUUGUCCGGGAAGAAAAGCAUCGGGCUAAUACCUCGGUGUUCUGACGGUACCGGAAGAAUAAGCACCGGCUAACUUCGUG